RNAcentral lists this ribosomal RNA (300 nucleotides) under uncultured bacterium. Its description in RNAcentral is "bacterial SSU rRNA". It matches the Rfam family "Bacterial small subunit ribosomal RNA", at positions 337 to 628 of the family's 1533-position model. The record is from RNAcentral.
UCCUACGGGGCGCAGCAGUGAGGAAUAUUGGUCAAUGGUCGGGAGACUGAACCAGCCAAGCCGCGUGAGGGAGGAAGGUACAGAGUAUCGUAAACCACUUUUGUAGAGAACGAAAAGACACCUUCGAAUAAAGGGUGUUGCUGACGGUACUCUAAGAAUAAGCACCGGCUAACUACGUGCCAGCAGCCGCGGUAAUACGUAGGGUGCGAGCGUUAAUCGGAAUUACUGGGUGUAAAGGGUGCGCAGGCGGCUGAGUAAGACAGAUGUGAAAUCCCCGAGCUUAACUCGGGAAUUGCAUUU